GGACUUCCGAACGAAGGUGUGGAGCAUGACCGGUGGGCCGUACUGCCGUCCCAAGCACUGGAAGCGCAACACCGCCAUAGCCUUCUUAGGCGCCUUCCUCGUCUGCAUCCCUAUCGCUAUUAAAUCCGCCGAGCUCGAGGGUUCAUGUAGAACAAUGUCUGUGGCACAAAUUUGUGAAAUAUGCAGGCCUUAAUUAAGCAACGGCCUCAUUAUCCAGUUCGCCCAAUUCCUUCACAACUUUGGUGCAAGAACUUUGGCAAGAAAGAAUACUAGUUCCAUGUAUUAAGAAUACUAAUAUUUGGACUGGUUUUUCAUGUGGUUCUCAAACAGGAGUCAACUUCUUUUCCUUCUCAGAUGUCCUUUCAGCGACAUGCUCUGCUGUUGUGAUUAAGUACUUAUUUCAUAAUAUGGCUGAACAAGUGUUUAAUCCAGAAGGAUUAUUUCUUGUGGUCGCUACGGAAUAAAGACAUAUUCUGUUAACCGCAUGAACUGCAGGAUUGUGUGAGAACACUUUUUAAUGGGAAUAUGUUCUAUUUCUUGA
Molecule: long non-coding RNA, 541 nt
Organism: Musa acuminata AAA Group (dessert banana)
Lineage: Eukaryota; Viridiplantae; Streptophyta; Magnoliopsida; Zingiberales; Musaceae
Exons: 3
Source: RefSeq, a predicted model, not a curated record